Molecule: long non-coding RNA, 634 nt
Filed under: Salvia miltiorrhiza (redroot sage)
Lineage: Eukaryota; Viridiplantae; Streptophyta; Magnoliopsida; Lamiales; Lamiaceae
Description: long non-coding RNA (SMIL_LNC003480)
Source: RNAcentral
UUAACAUGAGAAUGCAUCGAUUUAUCUGAAAAAUACUAAUGAAUUUAGUACAAUUGCAAGAUUUUAUUAUCGACCAACAACCUAUAGUAUAACAAAAACAAUGAAAAGCCCACUAAAAAAAUUGAAUCUUUUAAAGAAAUAUAUCAUUUUUUUAAUUUAUGAAUCACGCGUCUACUUAUUUUGCCAAGAAUUCAGGAAAAUUUAAACAUACUUCAAUCCUUUGAGUUUUUCGAUUCGAGGAAGAAAAAAUGAAUUACCUUGACUAAAGCGUGAAACUCUUGUGGAAGACGAGCGAGGCGGCGUCAAGCUGUGGCAGACGUGCUUAGGGCUUCUGGCGACGGCGUGAAACCCCGAUGGCAGACGAGCGAGGCGACGGCGACGUGCUUAGGGUUUCAGGCGGUGGAAUAAGGCUGCACGCUCAACCUCUAUCUCAGGCGACGUCGGCGGUGGAACCAGGCUGGGCGCGGCGACUCUCGCUCUCUCUCAGUAGGGAAGACGCCGGUGGAUGGGCGAAUCCAUCAUAGUGCAGCGGCAGGUGUUUGGUGAGAAGUAAUGAAUGAGGGAGGGGCAUGUGCUUGGUGGAGGAGAAAACCUUAAGUUUGGUGAUAUGUAUUGAAUGCAUACGUGAGAAUAU